This 441-nucleotide ribosomal RNA is filed under the name uncultured bacterium. RNAcentral describes it as "partial 16S ribosomal RNA". It matches the Rfam family "Bacterial small subunit ribosomal RNA", at positions 338 to 795 of the family's 1533-position model. The record is from RNAcentral.
CCUACGGGUGGCAGCAGUGGGGAAUAUUGCACAAUGGGCGCAAGCCUGAUCCAGCAACGCCGCGUGAGUGAGGAAGUAUUUCGGUAUGUAAAGCUCUAUCAGCAGGGAAGAGAAAAGAAGGUACCUGCUAAAGAAGCCCAGGCUAACUACGUGCCAGGAGCCGCGGUAAUACGGAGGGGGCAAGCGUUAUCCGGAUUUACUGGGUGUAAAGGGAGGGGAGCCGGAAAGGCAAGUCAGAAGUGAAAGCCCAGGGCUCAACCAUGGGACUGCUUUUGAAACUGUCAAACUAGAGUGCGGGAGAGGUAAGAGGAAUUCCUAGUGUAGCGGUGAAAUGCGUAGAUAUUAGGAGGAACACCAGUGGCGAAGGCGGCUUACUGGACCGUAACUGACGUUGAGGCUCGAAAGCGUGGGGAGCAAACAGGAUUAGAUACCCCAGUAGUC